This 372-nucleotide long non-coding RNA is filed under the name Prunus persica (peach). Its description in RNAcentral is "long non-coding RNA (PPER_LNC000721)". Lineage: Eukaryota; Viridiplantae; Streptophyta; Magnoliopsida; Rosales; Rosaceae. The record is from RNAcentral.
AACCCUAGCCAGUCACCACCUCCCUAUAACCCAACCUCCAUCAUAGCCACCCAAGUUUGCCAAACCCCAAACAAAGUAGAUGUACAAUCACAUUGAAUCACAUCCCCAUGAAGCUUUACACCCAAGCUAUUAUCACAAACGAAUUCUUAUCUUAGAAGGGGAAAGGUGGGAUAAUUGGUCAAUCCAACAAUCCCAAACCACAGCGCUGUUGCACUUUUAUACCCAAUUAUGCUCAAGCUAAUGGCCAGGUGUUGAGGCCCAAAAAAAUCCACGCUUCGGCCCAAAUAAAUGCUCAGCCCAAUGCAAUACCUUACCGAGAAGAAACCCAAUUUGGGCACGCGAAAGUUCGCCAUAUGCGCUUGUACACAUACC